UGAGCUGUGGAUAGCGGAGAAAUUCCAAUCGAACUCGGAGAUAGCUGGUUCUCCUCGAAAUAGCUUUAGGGCUAGCGUCGGGUAAUUGAGUAGUGGAGGUAGAGCACUGAAUGGGCUAGGGGCUGACAACAGUUACUGAACCCUAUCAAACUCCGAAUGCCAUAUACUUGUACCCCGGCAGUCAGACUACGAAUGAUAAGAUCCGUGGUCAAAAGGGAAACAGCCCAGACCAUCAGCUAAGGUCCCAAAGUGUAAGUUAAGUGGGAAAGGAUGUGGGAUUUCUAAGACAACUAGGAUGUUGGCUUAGAAGCAGCCACUCAUUUAAAGAGUGCGUAAUAGCUCACUAGUCGAGAGAUCCUGCGCCGAAGAUGUAACGGGGCUCAAACUUACCACCGAAGCUAUGGAUGUGUACUUUGUACACGUGGUAGAGGAGCUUUCUGUACAGGUUGAAGUCAUACCGUAAGGAGUGGUGGACAGUACAGAAGUGAGAAUGCUGGCAUAAGUAGCGAAAAACAAGUGAGAAUCUUGUUGACCGAAUAUCUAAGGUUUCCUGGGGAAGGCUCGUCCUCCCAGGGUUAGUCGGGACCUAAGCCGCGGCCGAAAGGCGUAGGUGAUGGACAACUGGUUGAUAUUCCAGUACCACCAUAAUGCGUUUGACAAAUGGGAUGACGCAGGAGGAUAGGAUGUGCGCACUAUUGGAUGUGCGUCUAAGCACUUAGGGUGUUAAGUAGGCAAAUCCGCUUAACAUUAAGCCUGAGGUGUGAUGGGGAGCCUAUUUUGGCGAAGUAUCUGAUUCCACGCUGCCAAGAAAAGUCUCUAUGGAGCAAAAUG
This 831-nucleotide ribosomal RNA is filed under the name Clostridium botulinum D/C. Its description in RNAcentral is "partial 23S ribosomal RNA". It matches the Rfam family "Bacterial large subunit ribosomal RNA", at positions 805 to 1637 of the family's 2925-position model. Lineage: Bacteria; Bacillati; Bacillota; Clostridia; Eubacteriales; Clostridiaceae. The record is from RNAcentral.